CGAAGCAAAUUUAAAUACUCCUUUAGAAUUUCAUCGAAAUUUUGGUCUGGGUAUUAAUUUGAAUUAAUUUUAUUCUAAAAUUAUUUUGGUUCAUCACCCAAAAAUUCUGAUUGUUUUGCUAUUGCAUUAGACAAGAUAAGAUAUUGUUUUUAUAUAUUAUUUUUCCGGAAGUAAGCGGACCUAUUUGUCCAAAUAUUCAUCCGCAAAAACUCCACGAGGCAGGUUGCGUGCGCAGCAUUUUUGAUUUCGAGUUUCCUUGUGCCGCCCAUCUCGGCUGGGACGCUAAGCUGUUUGGGAGCUCAGCAUCGGUUGCGUGCGUAUGAAAACUGAAUGCGGUACGUAUGUUAAGUAUGCAAUAGCGUGAGUCUGAGUUUGAUGAUUGUGUUAGCAACGGUCUGUACGGUAGGUGCGGAUUUACCACGGGUAGUGGUCUGAUUAUUGAGGUACCGGUACUGGUACUUUUUGCAGAGAUCAAAGUUUCCUAUAUUUUAAUCCUUCUCUUUACCGUCAUAGGUCAUUUAGUACCGGUAAUGUGCCAAUUAUGACAUCACUCAAAUGUCACGUGCCUGUAGCCCGCGCUUUUUCUGGUUCAGGAAUGAGGACUCGGUAAGCGAGGCUCUUUGUCGUUAGUGGAUGUUUAUUUUAGGCGGUUGGUUUUUGUAGCUUUUCAUGCGUUAAUUGAGCAUGUUUGUGUUACAGUAGUAGACUUGUAGUUGGUAGACCAAAAUAUUCUUUAAAUACCGUGUACAUCAGAUAACACGGUAGCGACUGCUGAGACUUUUUACGUCAUCGCUGAACGAGAAGUGGUGUGUUCCUGUAGAUCGUUUUUUGAAGCGGUACGGUAGCUUUUCAGUUUGCUUCGUUCUAUGUUUUCAACAUAGAAUAUCCAAAGAAGGUCUUGCUGACGUUUGAUUUUAUUUAGAGGUUCUUCGGUGACAUAAACCCCAGAGGCACUAAGUCGAAAAAAAGUAAAGGCAAAGACGUUCAUGCAAAAGUAAUCGGCCUUGCAAGAAGAGUGAAUCUAUCACAGGCGUUAUAUGUGCCGUUGUUAGAAAUUGAUGUUUAAGUAAACUUUGGUGGUGUUACUGCAGCUUACAUCACUUUUGACCAGGGGUGAAAACUCUAUCAAAUUUUCACAUGCCUUUGAUUGAGUUUCUCAAGUUCGAGUUCAUUACCCUGGUCAGGGGUUUGAGUUCAUGUAUUUGAUAGAGUUUUUCGAAGUUCGAGUUCGCAGCCCUGCUUUUGGCUGAUCGAUUAAUUUGAUAAAAAAUGAUUUAGCUGUGUGUCGGGUGUGAAGUCUGGAUAAUUUUAAACAAACUCUGCUCCAUGAUCUUCUUCACCCACAAAAUUUCUGGCUUCCAAGGAAUGACUAUCAACUCCCACAUUUGCAAAUAUAUGACUCCGUCUCCUGCUCAAGACUCCUUCAAAAUAUGAAUUAAAACUCUUGACUCCCUGAUCUUUUAAGAUUUGACUGCUGCUAUGCUAGCUGCUUUAGUGUAACUUUUUGUCCAGUUUUAUCAAUUUUAACAUUUUCGAAUUUGCAACUUCUGCAAACUCUGCUCCUAGCUCAUGAGCUUAAAAAAUGUCCAGUCAAACUCUAUUCAUAAGUGUGGAUAAACUCCGUCUAUGAUUAACUCUAUAGACUCUGCAAGCUUCAAAAUUUAGAACUCCCACUCAUGCUCCUACCAAAAUCCUCAAACUCCCGCUCUUCGACUUCACGCCCUUUGAAAUCUUAUCUUGAAAAUUAUCUUGCAUAAUUAACUUUAGAAUUUGUCAUAUCUUUGAAACUCUUGCCAUAGCUACAAAAUAGGUUGCAUGAUAUUUCCCAAAAUUUUCAUUUUGAAACAUUAUAAUUAGAGUAAAGUGCAAAAAAUCGUGAAAUUCUUACAAUAGUCUCGUUAUUAUGUCACGUUUGCCAGCGUCUCAUAGCCUGGUAUCCAGAAAUUUGAUUUCAAAAUAAGUUUGUCAACUAAACAACCCAGUCCUAAAACGUUUUCUUGUUUGACUUUAUUUGGAUCUAUUGAGAUAAAUAAAUAGACCUCGAAAUGUAUAGACCAGAUUUCUAACAAGUGCCGAUAGAAACUCAAUUUUGAUUCAUUACAUACAGAAUUUCUAUGUCCUACAAGAACUCGUGCCCUCAUUUUAUUGCAUGGAUAGCCUUCAACGUCUCCUAAUAGGUGUUUAAAUUUGACUGUAGACCAUAUAUUUUCUGAAAUUUCUUUCGAAACUGUUUUACAAGCCUUAAAGGCAUUCAGUGUGUAUUUAUGGUUUUAUAAAAAUAUCAAUUGUAAUAAAAUGAUUUUCGUUUCCAGAA
Non-coding RNA from Styela clava, 2314 nucleotides. Lineage: Eukaryota; Metazoa; Chordata; Ascidiacea; Stolidobranchia; Styelidae. The record is from RefSeq and is a predicted model, not a curated record.